RNAcentral lists this ribosomal RNA (819 nucleotides) under Sclerospora graminicola. Its description in RNAcentral is "partial 28S ribosomal RNA". It matches the Rfam family "Eukaryotic large subunit ribosomal RNA", at positions 386 to 1037 of the family's 3401-position model. Lineage: Eukaryota; Oomycota; Peronosporomycetes; Peronosporales; Peronosporaceae. The record is from RNAcentral.
ACCGAAUCGUUUCCAGUGUCUAUAAUCUGCGAUAUAUUUCAUCGGCGAAUGUGUGCGUGCGUGUACUAUGGCAGCGGCUUUUUGGCUGCGCUUGGUAUAUGUGCUGUGCUUCCUUGCUGGCGCCCUGUAUUGUGGUGGGACGCCAAUGUCAGUUCGUAAACCGCGGGAAAUGACUACCGAGGAGGUAAGGCUUACGCUUGCGUUUGUCUGUUAUAUCUUGGUGGACGAGUAGUUGUGGUUGGGACUGAGGUGCCUACAACGUGCUUUUGAGUGGGACUGCGUCUCCGUGUGCGCCGUGUGCGGAUAGCUUGCUAUAUGCGUGUGGUUGUGUAUGGAUUGAUGCGGACUUUAACUUGUUGCCGUUCGGGACGUUGGCGAAAUGGAGCGAUUUGACCCGUCUUGAAACACGGACCAAGGAGUCUAACAUGUGUGCAAGUGUUAGGGUGUCGAAACCCGGACGCGUAAUUAACGUGAAGGGCAGCGCAAGCUGUCUGAGGUAGGAAACGUUGCGGACUUCGGUCUGCGAUGUGGCACUAUCGACCGAUCAUGAACCUUCGUGGUGAAAGAUUUGAGUUUGAGCACAUAUGUUGGUACCCGAAAGAUGGUGAACUAUGCCUGAGUAGAGUGAAGCCAGGGGAAACUCUGGUGGAAGCUCGUAGCGAUUCUGACGUGCAAAUCGAUCGUUGAACUUGGGUAUAGGGGCGAAAGACUAAUCGAACCAUCUAGUAGCUGGUUCCCUCCGAAAUCUCCCUCAGGAUAGCAACAACUUAUUUACGAUAGUUUUAUGAGGUAAAGCGAAUGAUUAGAGGAUUCGGGGAA